RNAcentral lists this ribosomal RNA (492 nucleotides) under uncultured bacterium. Its description in RNAcentral is "bacterial SSU rRNA". It matches the Rfam family "Bacterial small subunit ribosomal RNA", at positions 28 to 507 of the family's 1533-position model. The record is from RNAcentral.
GAUGAACGCUAGCUACAGGCUUACCACAUGCAAGUCGAGGGGAAACGACAUCAAAAGCUUGCUUUUGAUGGGCGUCAACCGGCGCACGGGUGAGUAACGCGUAUCCAACCUGCCCAUCACUUGGGGAUAACCUUGCAAAAGUAAAACUAAUACCCAAUGACGUCUCUAGAAAACAUCUGAAGGAAAUUAAAGAUUUAUCGGUGAUGGAUGGGGAUGCGUCUGAUUAGCUUGUUGGCGGGGUAACGGCCCACCAAGGCAACAAUCAGUAGGGGUUCUGAGAGGAAGGUCCCCCACAUUGAAACUGAAACACGGUCCAAACUCCUACGGGAGGCAGCAGUGAGGAAUAUUGGUCAAUGGACAAGAGUCUGAACCAGCCAAGUAGCGUGCAGGAUGACGGCCCUAUGGGUUGUAAACUGCUUUUAUAAGGAAAUAAAGUGAGUCUCGUGAGACUUUUUGCAUGUACCUUAUGAAUAAGGACCGGCUAAUUCCGUG